Molecule: unclassified non-coding RNA, 168 nt
Filed under: uncultured fungus
Lineage: Eukaryota; Fungi
Description: sequence contains ITS1, 5.8S rRNA gene
Source: RNAcentral
AAAUUAUCGCAUGAUUCAGUUGAUACUGAUGAUUGCGUAACACAGUUCUUGCCUUGGCAGCUGUGAGAUCUUUUGUGCACUGUAAUAACCCCCCAACUUGAAUUAGUCUGAUUUUUAUUCUUUUGCUACGCUUCAUUUUACAUGAAAACGUGCAGAUAUGAAUUAAUA